Molecule: long non-coding RNA, 820 nt
Organism: Gallus gallus (chicken)
Lineage: Eukaryota; Metazoa; Chordata; Aves; Galliformes; Phasianidae
Source: Ensembl
CUACAUUUUAAGAGGUAGACAACUCUCCAAGUGUGUUUCUUCCACCAAACCCCAAACACUGUAAUGAAAACAGUCCUUAUUAAAAUAAAGCACUUGAAGUAUGUUGUCAGAACGUAUAUGAAUCAAAGGGUAAGUCUUCAUGGAAGAACUUGGAACAUAAAUUCCCCUCAGCUGAAGUGGAGUAGGAAUGUAUACAAAAGAAAAUUACAAAUGGAGAUAAGUCUAAAAUAAGUGCCACAUAUGGAUGGUUUUGUUCAUAUCGUGGCUGCUGAACAGCCAUGAGGAUGUUGUGCACUUUGCCAGCUCCUGGAGCGCUGUGAUCUGUCCUAAGACCUGGCCACACCAACUCUGUGUUUUCAGGAAUGGGUUGCACUGCCCUGGGCUCUUCCAGCAACUGUCCACUCCAUCAGCUGCCAGAGGCAGAAGGAAAACAGCAAUAAAGCUGCACAGAGAGAAAACAAAUAAUUCCUGGUUCCUGAGGGCACUGGGAAAGGAAACACAGAUAUGCCUGUGGGAACAAGGCGAAGCAGAUUUGUGCAUGUUACAACUUGAUUCUCAGUGAGAAAUGGACCAAAAUACUUCCAAAAAACUUAGGAGGGAAACGUAAAAAUUUUAAAAAUUGUCCUGUAGAGUUACCAAAUUAAACUCAGAGUUUGGAAAUGGCAUUUUCAUUCAAAACUGACUGCAAAAUAAAAUCAACUUAAUAAUCCUAAAAUAAAUAAAUAUGUAUAUAUUUCAAUUACAUUCUUCAUUUUAGCAAUUUACUCGGAAUGGAUUUUUUUCUUUAUUUAUCAUCAUUUGAUUUGGACAGAAUAAAAAG